GUAAUUUCAAAAUAAUAAAAAUUCUCCCUGCCCACUGCUUAGUAAUAUCUGUCAAGCAUUUUCUACUGAGAGGACUAUGAGAAGCAAAGCCUUCAAACAGCAAAGCUACUAUGAACAAUCGAUCGAUUAAAUUUGUAGUAUUAUCGGCCUUUCCAGGUCAUUAGAUCAGAGUGUGGGAGAGUUUUGCCAUGGCCUAUGUGGAGAAACCAAACAUGAGUGGGCUACCUUGGACCUCUGAUCCCAACAUAGAGAAAUUUUUUCUUCCCCCGAAUGCAUCGAGUAUUGGGCAAUCUUAUAUCAGAUAUCACAAGCUAAUAUUCAGGCCUGAUAGUUUGGGUUCCAGUAAAGUUGAUAGCCUAAAAUGUACAAACUUUGCUUUUAUCUGAUGUCUAAUUUCUUUACUAUUGGUGAUUAUCCAUAAAGCAGUGUUAAAUCAGCAGAUAUGAAUCUAAGGGGGUAUACUGCAGAAGUUACAGGUCUUUCUCCUAAAGCUAUUGAGAAGGAUGUUCAAGAGUUUUUUGGUUUCUGUGGGGCAAUUGAACAUGUUGAGAUUGUCAAGUGGGUUUGGGUUUAAUAUCUCGGAUUACAUUACAGUUUUAUUAAUCAUACCCUAUAUUUCUGUGUCGAUGAUUUAGGAGGAAAAAAGAAACAAAUGGAAGGGAAAUUAUGAGUAGAGCAAUAUAUUUGAAGUCCAAAAAAUGUAUCUAUCUUUACUAUUCUUGUGUUUCAAUUCCUCCCAAUUUCCUUAAAGUUCAAACCCUCCCCUCAAUUUUGGUGUACAUACAAUAUAAAUGAUAAUCUUUUGUAAUAUAGCUAGGUAAUAUGAGCGAUAAACAAGUUUGGCUAUUA
Molecule: long non-coding RNA, 849 nt
Organism: Capsicum annuum
Lineage: Eukaryota; Viridiplantae; Streptophyta; Magnoliopsida; Solanales; Solanaceae
Exons: 3
Source: RefSeq, a predicted model, not a curated record